ACGCUGGCGGCAGGCUUAACACAUGCAAGUCGAGCGGGCGAGGUUGCUUCGGUAACUGAGCUAGCGGCGGACGGGUGAGUAAUGCUUAGGAAUCUGCCUAUUAGUGGGGGACAACAUUCCGAAAGGAAUGCUAAUACCGCAUACGCCCUACGGGGGAAAGCAGGGGAUCUUCGGACCUUGCGCUAAUAGAUGAGCCUAAGUCAGAUUAGCUAGUUGGUGGGGUAAAGGCCUACCAAGGCGACGAUCUGUAGCGGGUCUGAGAGGAUGAUCCGCCACACUGGGACUGAGACACGGCCCAGACUCCUACGGGAGGCAGCAGUGGGGAAUAUUGGACAAUGGGGGGAACCCUGAUCCAGCCAUGCCGCGUGUGUGAAGAAGGCCUUUUGGUUGUAAAGCACUUUAAGCGAGGAGGAGGCUACUUGGAUUAAUACUCUAGGAUAGUGGACGUUACUCGCAGAAUAAGCACCGGCUAACUCUGUGCCAGCAGCCGCGGUAAUACAGAGGGUGCGAGCGUUAAUCGGAUUUACUGGGCGUAAAGCGUGCGUAGGCGGCUUCUUAAGUCGGAUGUGAAAUCCCUGAGCUUAACUUAGGAAUUGCAUUCGAUACUGGGAAGCUAGAGUAUGGGAGAGGAUGGUAGAAUUCCAGGUGUAGCGGUGAAAUGCGUAGAGAUCUGGAGGAAUACCGAUGGCGAAGGCAGCCAUCUGGCCUAAUACUGACGCUGAGGUACGAAAGCAUGGGGAGCAAACAGGAUUAGAUACCCUGGUAGUCCAUGCCGUAAACGAUGUCUACUAGCCGUUGGGGCCUUUGAGGCUUUAGUGGCGCAGCUAACGCGAUAAGUAAACCGCCUGGGGAGUACCGUCGCAAGACUAAA
RNAcentral lists this ribosomal RNA (871 nucleotides) under uncultured Acinetobacter sp. RNAcentral describes it as "bacterial SSU rRNA". It matches the Rfam family "Bacterial small subunit ribosomal RNA", at positions 33 to 898 of the family's 1533-position model. The record is from RNAcentral. Lineage: Bacteria; Pseudomonadati; Pseudomonadota; Gammaproteobacteria; Moraxellales; Moraxellaceae.